AGAUUGAACGCUGGCGGCAGGCCUAACACAUGCAAGUCGAGCGGUAGAGAGGUGCUUGCAUCUCUUGAGAGCGGCGGACGGGUGAGUAAUGCCUAGGAAUCUGCCUAGUGGGUGGGGGAUAACGUUCGGAAACGGACGCUAAUACCGCAUACGUCCUACGGGAGAAAGCGGGGGACCUUCGGGCCUCGCGCCAUUAGAUGAGCCUAGGUCGGAUUAGCUAGUGGUGAGGUAAUGGCUCACCAAGGCGACGAUCCGUAACUGGUCUGAGAGAUGAUCAGUCACACUGGAACUGACGACACGGUCCAGUACUACCGUAGGGACGCAGCAGGUGGGAAUAGUUGGACUAAGUGGGACGAAAGCCCUAGAUACCCAG
This 373-nucleotide ribosomal RNA is filed under the name uncultured soil bacterium. RNAcentral describes it as "bacterial SSU rRNA". It matches the Rfam family "Bacterial small subunit ribosomal RNA", at positions 26 to 395 of the family's 1533-position model. The record is from RNAcentral.